UGAGCAAUCUGCCCUUCUCUUCGGAAUAAGCGUUGGAAACGACGUCUAAUGCCGAAUACGACCUCCUUUCGCAUGAUCGGAGGUGGAAAGCUCCGGCGGAGAAGGAUGAGCUCGCGGCCUAUCAGCUAGUUGGUGUGGGUAAUGGCCCACAAGGCGACGACGGGUAGCCGGCCUGGAGAGGGUGACCCGGCCACACUGGGACUGAGACACGGCCCAGACCUCCGUACGGGGAGGNGCAGGG
RNAcentral lists this ribosomal RNA (241 nucleotides) under uncultured bacterium. Its description in RNAcentral is "partial 16S ribosomal RNA". It matches the Rfam family "Bacterial small subunit ribosomal RNA", at positions 118 to 354 of the family's 1533-position model. The record is from RNAcentral.